ACAAUUCUAUUAUUGAAUUUGUGAUGAAUUAUACCUAACAAAUUCUUCCACAUUUAUUGUUCGUAUUUGUCUUUGAGUUGAUUUUUGCCUUGGAACAUUCUCCUCCAGACUGUUUUGGUUUGACUUUUUUAUUGAUGUACACCUAAGAAGGAGAAUGUUCCAAGGCAAAAAUCGUUUGCGGAUCAUGGAUUUCUCACCGCCAUGGUUAAGGAAGUUACAAGGGAUGUGUGCCAUUGCUUUGUUUGCUUGUUUAGCACAAGGUCCUGUAAAUGCAUCCAACCCCCCAGAAUUGGAAGUCAAGUGGUCUGACUUCCCUAGUGAUUUUGUGUUUGGAGUCUCCACUGCUGCUACACAGAUUGAAGGAUCAGCAAAAGAAGCAGGAAGAGGACCAAGUGUUUGGGACUACUAUGUUGAGAACUUCCCAGAAAGGAUUGCAGAUCACUCCAACAUGUUUACGGCCCUCGAUUCAUACAAGCGAUACAAGGAAGAUGUGAAGGCUGUGAAGAACCUUGGAGUCGGGUCUUACAGAUUUUCCAUCUCUUGGACCAGGAUUCUUCCUGAGGGAACCUUGAGUGGUGGAGUAAACCAACAAGGUAUUGAUCACUACAACAACCUGAUUGAUGAACUGAUCAAGAAUGGCAUCACACCAUAUGUCACUAUAUUGCACUUUGAUGCACCACAAGCUUUGACAGACAAGUAUGGAGGCCCCCUAAAUCGCUCCUUUGUGGAUGAUUUCAAGGAUUAUAGUGAACUUUGCUUUAAAUUUUUUGGAGAUAGAGUAAAAAAUUGGAUUACAAUCAACGAGCCAUUAAUUACUGCAAAAUUUGGGUAUGAUCUUGGGGUUGAUCCACCAGCAAGGUGUUCUGUUCAAACAGCAUAUCCAUGUAGUGUUGGUGGUAAUUCAGCCACUGAGCCUUACAUUGUUGCCCAUAACAUUCUCCUUGCGCAUGCCGCUGCUGUUGAGCUCUACAGAGAGAAGUUUCAGAGAAAACAAGGUGGACAAAUUGGAAUUAGUCUUGUGGGACAAUAUGUUGAGCCUUAUUCAGAUUCAGCAGAAGACAAAGCUGCAGCAAAAAGAAUUUUGGAUUUUGAACUUGGAUGGUUUGUGGAACCAUUAGUGUAUGGAGCUUAUCCAAGGAGUAUGAGACAGUUAGUCAAGGACAGGCUACCCACCUUCACCGAGAAAGAGACGAUGAUGGUCAACCGGUCCGUCGAUUUUAUUGGUAUCAACUAUUAUACCAGCAGAUAUGGCAAAAAUGAGCCUGCAAGUUCAGGGAAACCAAUUUCCUAUAGCAACGAUCAAUUAGCUUCGUCGUGGACUAGAAAUGCGGAUGGAAUCCAAAUUGGUCCUCUGGCUUCAGGAAGCACGUUCCUCUACACUUAUCCACAAGGUCUGCAGAAACUUCUAGAGUUCAUUAAGAAAGAGUACAGAGACCCUAAAAUCUACAUUACUGAAAAUGGAAUAACCGAAGAGAGGGACGAUAAACUAGGGCUUGAUGAAGCACUUAAGGAUCCACAUAGAAUUCAAUACAUUCUUCAGCAUUUGUACCGGAUCAAGAUGGCAAUCAAGAGCGGUGUGAAUGUCCGAGGAUAUUUCCACUGGGCUCUAUUUGACGACUUUGAAUGGGGGAGUGGCUACACCACAAGAUUCGGGGUUUAUUUUAUCGAUCACAAAGACAAUCUCAAGCGCAUUCCUAAAGUGUCAGCUAAGUGGCUCCCUAAAUUCCUAAAGGGUCAGGCUUGAUGUAUUGAAAAUCUUAGACAUAAUAAAGCUCUAGAUGGUUGAUCAUGCUUCCUUGCAUAAAGAGUUACCUAUAUUAUGUUGAGUGGGAGAGAGCUUGAAAAAAGACUGCCUUGAAGGUCAAGUGGGGACUUUGAGAGUCAAAUCUUCGGUCUCCAUCCGCUGUGGCCUGGACUUGAACUGCGUACUGUAAGUUCCAAAGGAUGUCCUCAAAAGAUGGACGGCUUGACUCUGGACAAAUACAUUUGUUUGUUAUAGAGAUCACGAUCGAUAAAGAUUCUUGUGAGCAAGUAGCUAGAACAAUUGGUUCAACUAUUUUCUUCCGGCCGUCUAGGCUAUUAAGAGAUGCCUGUAAAAAAUUGCAGAAUUAUGAUCAAUCAAUAUCCAUCUAUGGUCA
Prunus mume (Japanese apricot) is the source of this 2138-nucleotide non-coding RNA. Lineage: Eukaryota; Viridiplantae; Streptophyta; Magnoliopsida; Rosales; Rosaceae. The record is from RefSeq and is a predicted model, not a curated record.